UAAGACGUAGGGGGCAAGCGUUGUCCGGAAUCAUUGGGCGUAAAGCGCUCGUAGGCGGACCUUUAAGUCGGUGAAGAAAGACCUGGGCUCAACUCAGGGAACGGCAUCGAUACUAUUGGUCUUGAGGUAAUUAGAGGAUGAUGGAAUCCCCGGUGUAGCGGUGAAAUGCGUAGAUAUCGGGAGGAACACCAGUGGCGAAGGCGAUCAUCUGGGAUUAACCUGACGCUGAGGAGCGAAAGCCAGGGGAGCAAACGGG
This 256-nucleotide ribosomal RNA is filed under the name uncultured archaeon. Its description in RNAcentral is "partial 16S ribosomal RNA". It matches the Rfam family "Bacterial small subunit ribosomal RNA", at positions 521 to 776 of the family's 1533-position model. The record is from RNAcentral.